CUGUGAGCUGCCAUGGUUGAUGAUUACCUUCAAGACAGUCCAGGCCCAAAGUGGCCCAAAGACCUGCAAGCAGGGGCUGUGUACACUGUGUGAAAGAGGAAGAGGGUAUACAUCAGGCUGCACACAAAAUCCAAAACAAAUGAUGAAACCGGAGCCUUGUUUAUCGCUUUAAUGAUGAACAACCAGCACUGAGAGGCAGUUGUUGUCAUCAACUAAGAAAGUUCCUCAUUUGACUUAUGAAAGCCAUUCCUGUGGUAGAAUUUAACCAUUACUGUGUGUAUGUCUCCAGAUUUCCAUAAGAGAAAUGUACCUUCUUCAGAUCAGUACUGUAUUCAAUACUCGUAAUACUUGUGUGUAAAGUUCUCAACUAACACAUCUCCUUCUGUAUUAGCCCCCAAAGCAUGGUAGAUUUCUUUUUUCAGAUUGAAUAUUUUUCUGAUUUAUCAGCCACAUAGUGGAAGGGGACAUUUACACCCUGAUGCCUCUACAAUCAAUCAUUAAACUAUCUGUUUUCCUCCCACUCUAAGUUGGAGCCCUCAGUAAAAGCUAACCACUCUUUCCAGCCUCACAUGCUCUUCAGAUAGAAUGGACAGUUUUGUCUCUCCAUCCACAUCCCCGUGUCUGUCACAUUGUGACUCAGACUCAUUGUGGAUUAGCCUGUAACUAUGCCUAUUAGAGCCUGAGUUUGAUUUCUAAACCAAAAAAAGGUCAAGUAAAGCAUCUAUGUCUAAAAGUCAGUUUGCCAUCAGAGACCUUCUUCCCAACCAAUUGUCCAAGCUAGAAAGCCUUAAUGAUGCCUUGGAUGUUCACCAGGCUCGGGAUACAAAUGUACAAUUGUGUGAUGCAAUCCCCAGGGACAACAAUCUUCUUGAUUGCAAUGGAGUUAACCAGUACACAGUCUGCUCAAUCAUUAGAGCCCGUCAGUAGGAAUCUUUAUUUCCUUCAGUGUAAAUAGUUUACUGUAUCCUUAACAUCCUCAUCUGAACACUGUAAUCAAGGUGAUAUAUGUUUUUAAAAAAAUCACAAAAGAAAAACAGAUACAAGAGAUAUAAGAUACAACAGAUACAAGAGAAAGAUACAAGGUAUCCUUAUAUUUUCCUAUUUCCUAAACCUUGUUUUGACUUUCAGUACAUUUUUAUUAUUCCUUAGAAUAGAGAUUGACUGUUUAAAGAAAAUUACAGUCAUUGAAAUGAUAUGAGAGAUGAAAGAUACCAUUAUUAUACUCAGUAGAUGAAAGAGAGCUGUAGAAAAGAAGUCAUUAGUGAGAGGCAAAAUAGAGUCAUUACACCAAAAAAGACACUAAAAACUAAGUUAUAUUUAUUUUAAAAUACAGAUUGAUUCCAUAUCAAUAAAUACUUUUAACACUGAAUGUAGAAAACUAGUGUGCAUAUUUCAUGAAGAUGAUGAACUAAAGAAUCAAAGGAAAAGGUGCUCCUUUACCUCUGGCCAUUGAUAAAAAA
Molecule: long non-coding RNA, 1460 nt
Organism: Dipodomys ordii (Ord's kangaroo rat)
Lineage: Eukaryota; Metazoa; Chordata; Mammalia; Rodentia; Heteromyidae
Exons: 2
Source: RefSeq, a predicted model, not a curated record